CGAAGGGUGCAAGCGUUAAUCGGAAUUACUGGGCGUAAAGCGCGCGUAGGUGGUUCGUUAAGUUGGAUGUGAAAGCCCCGGGCUCAACCUGGGAACUGCAUCCAAAACUGGCGAGCUAGAGUAUGGCAGAGGGUGGUGGAAUUUCCUGUGUAGCGGUGAAAUGCGUAGAUAUAGGAAGGAACACCAGUGGCGAAGGCGACCACCUGGGCUAAUACUGACACUGAGGUGCGAAAGCGUGGGGAGCAAACAGGAUU
RNAcentral lists this ribosomal RNA (254 nucleotides) under uncultured bacterium. RNAcentral's name for it is "partial 16S ribosomal RNA". It matches the Rfam family "Bacterial small subunit ribosomal RNA", at positions 526 to 779 of the family's 1533-position model. The record is from RNAcentral.